RNAcentral lists this long non-coding RNA (772 nucleotides) under Drosophila guanche. Lineage: Eukaryota; Metazoa; Arthropoda; Insecta; Diptera; Drosophilidae. The record is from RNAcentral.
AGAAGAUUGUUGCUAAAGAACAUAUAUGUAAUAUAUGAAUAUCGACAGAGAAAGAGGAAGAACAUGCAUAUAGCCGGUGAAUAUAUAAAUUGAAAGAAGAUUAUUAAAUUGAUUGAAAUCCGAUUCGGUCGAACCAGCGGCACUUGGCUUUUUACUUCGAGAAUUUUAUUCCGAACUGGUUGCGAGGAGUUGCGGAAACAAUGUGUAUCUUUUGGAUUUUGCACUACCAAAACGAUUAUCUUGCCAUCAGGUGUUAGCAGGACCUCGUGUAGUGUGGUACGAACACGUACCACACGUACCAGAUGUGGUGGCUCCAUUUUUGAUAGAACUGCCCCUCGAAAAGACAGGCAUGUUGGAGAGCGUCUUGGCGUUCCACAUGUAAUGUAGUGUAUCUCAGAGCUACACGCGUUCAGAUCAGCUGUUAGCUCAAUAUAAUUAAAAUACUUUUUGAUAUAAAUCUAAGCUUAGCUUGCUGCUUCAAUAAUAACUCUUUAUUGGUAAAAUGACAAAUUUAGAAAAGUGACUAGGCACAGACCCCAUCCACUGCCACGAUACACCAUUUGUAGUCAGCCAAUCGUAUGCCAGUUACUUUCAUCAUAAAUACCAGAACCAUUACCGAAAUUGUAAAAAUUUUAAGUCUCAUCUUAGCUGCGAUCUUCAUUUCCCAAUAUUUUUGUAAGGAGCCUCCUUUAUGUUCUUAACAAUUUGACACACGUUUUAAACCAUGAACAUGUAAUUAUGAAGCCCAGCAAACUAAAAAACGUGACAUGCU